AGUCUAACAAGUGCUUUCGCAUUGAAUUGGUCAUGACGAGAAGCUCGAACCUAAGCCUUGACUUGUGCUUCCCCUUUUUGCAGAUCCCGAACUUGACGCCCAUUUCGAGCUUCUCCAAGCCAAAAUACUUCAACUGUAUGGAUCCAUGUUUUACCUCCAUGCUCAAGCAAUUCAUACUCCUCCUGGCGGUAAGAGUCCUUCAG
Molecule: long non-coding RNA, 203 nt
Organism: Ixodes scapularis (black-legged tick)
Lineage: Eukaryota; Metazoa; Arthropoda; Arachnida; Ixodida; Ixodidae
Exons: 3
Source: RefSeq, a predicted model, not a curated record